GGCAGGGAGGGUUUCCCUGCGCGCGGACGCUGCAGGAGUCACGCGUGCGACAUCCAACCAGGAGCAGUGCCCUGAGCACGCCAGGAAGGAGACGGGGCCGCUGAAAGCACACCGCGGCGGUGUGGGGAACGGCCUCAGCCACCUAAGGAGUUUGACUCUUCAUCAACAAUAAUUUGGCACCCAAUGUGGGGCCUCAGAGAAGACUCAGGACCCCAAAGGAGUUGCCUGAACUCAGAGCUAAGAUACCAGUGGGGCCCACUGAAGUUUCCCAGACUUCUAGCUUCUCCCCUACUGGAACUGGUGUCUGGCUCUCCCAGGCCAAGCAGCACCGUCAUGCCCAGGUGACCGCAAAUUCCAGGCCCACCCAGGAAUACCCACGGGUGAAGCAGAGAGACGCGGAGAGACAGAGCCCUGAGACCUGCUGCACUGAGGUCAAUCCUGCCUGACCUCACUGAAAUUCAAUCCUGCCUGACUUAGGAAUAAUCAAGAGACCGGGAAUUUUCUCACUCUAGUUUUUAGAGAAAUAGAAAAUUUCAAAAAACGUUACAAAGUUAUUUAACUAAUAAAAUAUUCAGUAUUUUUCAUA
Molecule: long non-coding RNA, 586 nt
Organism: Chlorocebus sabaeus (green monkey)
Lineage: Eukaryota; Metazoa; Chordata; Mammalia; Primates; Cercopithecidae
Source: RefSeq, a predicted model, not a curated record